GGUGUUGAUUGCCGCGAGGGUCCACCCGUUCCCAUCCCGAACACGGAAGUUAAGCUCGCCGGCGCUGAAGAUACUUGGCUGGAGACGGCCCGGGAAAAUAGGUUUUCGCC
Molecule: ribosomal RNA, 110 nt
Filed under: uncultured Acutalibacter sp.
Lineage: Bacteria; Bacillati; Bacillota; Clostridia; Eubacteriales; Acutalibacteraceae
Source: RNAcentral